Molecule: ribosomal RNA, 484 nt
Filed under: uncultured bacterium
Lineage: Bacteria
Description: partial 16S ribosomal RNA
Rfam family: Bacterial small subunit ribosomal RNA
Source: RNAcentral
AUUGAACGCUGGCGGCAGGCCUAACACAUGCAAGUCGAGCGGAUGAAGGGAGCUUGCUCCUGGAUUCAGCGGCGGACGGGUGAGUAAUGCCUAGGAAUCUGCCUGGUAGUGGGGGAUAACGUCCGGAAACGGGCGCUAAUACCGCAUACGUCCUGAGGGAGAAAGUGGGGGAUCUUCGGACCUCACGCUAUCAGAUGAGCCUAGGUCGGAUUAGCUAGUUGGUGGGGUAAAGGCCUACCAAGGCGACGAUCCGUAACUGGUCUGAGAGGAUGAUCAGUCACACUGGAACUGAGACACGGUCCAGACUCCUACGGGAGGCAGCAGUGGGGAAUAUUGGACAAUGGGCGAAAGCCUGAUCCAGCAACGCCGCGUGUGUGAAGAAGGUCUUCGGAUUGUAAAGCACUUUAAGUUGGGAGGAAGGGCAGUAAGUUAAUACCUUGCUGUUUUGACGUUACCAACAGAAUAAGCACCGGCUAACUUCGUG